CUGACGGUCUUUACUGAUCAAUAAUCAAGCUCAAGAUUUGAACACUUUAUGAGUUUAGAUAUCUCCUCAAAAAGCUUGAUUAGUAGUGUUAUCAGUUCUUUUCGGGAAAAUGAGCUUCGACGAUGAUAAGGAAAUUGUCAUACUCGAAGAUGUCAUUUCAGCUUCAAGCUUUCUAGCGGGAAAAAUACAGAUUGCAGCCAUCAACCACAUUGAGGCACCACUUAAAGAAACCAGAUUUAAAGUGCUACUAAAGUUGACUGAGUCAGGUUUUAUCAGACCAAGACCUGGACUUGAUCUAGUGAUGGUAAUUGAUCUCAGUGGAAGCAUGCAUGAGGGAGGCAACUUAGACAAAUUGAAAAUCGCCGCACAAUUUGUCAUCGAGAAACUUAGCCCCGUUGAUCGUUUUUCAGUUGUCACAUUCUUUGACAGCUCGAACAGGUUGUUCCCACUGCGCCAAAUAACUGAAGCUUCUAAAGCUGAGAUUAUA
Long non-coding RNA from Morus notabilis, 487 nucleotides. RefSeq lists it as uncharacterized. The transcript is spliced from 3 exons. The record is from RefSeq and is a predicted model, not a curated record. NCBI's taxonomy places the organism in Eukaryota, Viridiplantae, Streptophyta, Magnoliopsida, Rosales, Moraceae.